This 119-nucleotide ribosomal RNA is filed under the name Lepisosteus oculatus (spotted gar). Lineage: Eukaryota; Metazoa; Chordata; Actinopteri; Semionotiformes; Lepisosteidae. The record is from RNAcentral.
GCCAGCAGCCAUAUCACCCUGCAACUCACAACUGGCAACCCACUGAAGCUAAGCAGGUGAGAGCCUGUUUAGUACCUAGAUGGGAGACCUUCUGGGAAAAGCUAGCGUUGCUGCUGGAA